CGUACACUCCUACGGGAGGCAGCAGUGGGGAAUAUUGGACAAUGGGCGCAAGCCUGAUCCAGCCAUGCCGCGUGAGUGAUGAAGGCCCUAGGGUUGUAAAGCUCUUUCACCGGUGAAGAUAAUGACGGUAACCGGAGAAGAAGCCCCGGCUAACUUCGUGCCAGCAGCCGCGGUAAUACGAAGGGGGCUAGCGUUGUUCGGAUUUACUGGGCGUAAAGCGCACGUAGGCGGACUAUUAAGUCAGGGGUGAAAUCCCGGGGCUCAACCCCGGAACUGCCUUUGAUACUGGUAGUCUUGAGUUCGAGAGAGGUGAGUGGAAUUCCGAGUGUAGAGGUGAAAUUCGUAGAUAUUCGGAGGAACACCAGUGGCGAAGGCGGCUCACUGGCUCGAUACUGACGCUGAGGUGCGAAAGCGUGGGGAGCAAACAGGAUUAGAUACCCGAGUAGUCCAUG
RNAcentral lists this ribosomal RNA (452 nucleotides) under uncultured organism. RNAcentral's name for it is "partial 16S ribosomal RNA". It matches the Rfam family "Bacterial small subunit ribosomal RNA", at positions 330 to 799 of the family's 1533-position model. The record is from RNAcentral.